RNAcentral lists this ribosomal RNA (505 nucleotides) under uncultured bacterium. RNAcentral describes it as "partial 16S ribosomal RNA". It matches the Rfam family "Bacterial small subunit ribosomal RNA", at positions 28 to 507 of the family's 1533-position model. The record is from RNAcentral.
GACGAACGCUGGCGGCGUGCCUAAUACAUGCAAGUAGAACGCACAGUUUAUACCGUAGCUUGCUACACCAUAGACUGUGAGUUGCGAACGGGUGAGUAACGCGUAGGUAACCUGCCUGGUAGCGGGGGAUAACUAUUGGAAACGAUAGCUAAUACCGCAUAAUAUUAAUUAUUGCAUGAUAAUUAAUUGAAAGGUGCAAUUGCACCACUACCAGAUGGACCUGCGUUGUAUUAGCUAGUAGGUGAGGUAACGGCUCACCUAGGCGACGAUACAUAGCCGACCUGAGAGGGUGAUCGGCCACACUGGGACUGAGACACGGCCCAGACUCCUACGGGAGGCAGCAGUAGGGAAUCUUCGGCAAUGGACGAAAGUCUGACCGAGCAACGCCGCGUGAGUGAAGAAGGUUUUCGGAUCGUAAAGCUCGGUUGUAAGAGAAGAACGGGUGUGAGAGUGGAAAGUUCACACUGUGACGGUAGCUUACCAGAAAGGGGCGGCUAACUACGUG